This 504-nucleotide ribosomal RNA is filed under the name uncultured Desulfobulbus sp. RNAcentral describes it as "bacterial SSU rRNA". It matches the Rfam family "Bacterial small subunit ribosomal RNA", at positions 887 to 1382 of the family's 1533-position model. Lineage: Bacteria; Pseudomonadati; Thermodesulfobacteriota; Desulfobulbia; Desulfobulbales; Desulfobulbaceae. The record is from RNAcentral.
CGCCCGCUCAGAAACUUAAAGGAAUUGACGGGGGCCCGCACAAGCGGUGGAGUAUGUGGUUUAAUUCGAUGCAACGCGAAGAAACCCUUACCUGGUCUUGACAUCCCGGAGACCCUUAGGAAACUAGGGGGUGCUUCCAUCUGGAAGAAUCUAGAGACAGGUGCUGCAUGGCUGUCGUCAGCUCGUGUCGUGAGAUGUUGGGUUAAGUCCCGCAACGAGCGCAACCCUUGCCUUUAGUUGCCAGCAGUUCGGCUGGGCACUCUAAAGGGACUGCCGGUGUUAAACCGGGGGAAGGUGGGGAUGACGUCAAGUCCUCAUGGCCUUUAUGACCAGGGCUACACACGUACUACAAUGGCCGAUACAAAGGGCAGCGACACUGCGAGGUGAAGCCAAUCCCGUAAAAUCGGUCUCAGUCCGGAUUGGAGUCUGCAACUCGACUCCAUGAAGUUGGAAUCGCUAGUAAUCGUGGAUCAGCAUGCCACGGUGAAUACGUUCCCGGGCCUU